RNAcentral lists this ribosomal RNA (552 nucleotides) under Escherichia coli. Its description in RNAcentral is "bacterial SSU rRNA". It matches the Rfam family "Bacterial small subunit ribosomal RNA", at positions 223 to 767 of the family's 1533-position model. Lineage: Bacteria; Pseudomonadati; Pseudomonadota; Gammaproteobacteria; Enterobacterales; Enterobacteriaceae. The record is from RNAcentral. RNAcentral also lists the same sequence under 1 other name.
GGAUGUGCCCAGAUGGGAUUAGCUAGUAGGUGGGGUAACGGCUCACCUAGGCGACGAUCCCUAGCUGGUCUGAGAGGAUGACCAGCCACACUGGAACUGAGACACGGUCCAGACUCCUACGGGAGGCAGCAGUGGGGAAUAUUGCACAAUGGGCGCAAGCCUGAUGCAGCCAUGCCGCGUGUAUGAAGAAGGCCUUCGGGUUGUAAAGUACUUUCAGCGGGGAGGAAGGGAGUAAAGUUAAUACCUUUGCUCAUUGACGUUACCCGCAGAAGAAGCACCGGCUAACUCCGUGCCAGCAGCCGCGGUAAUACGGAGGGUGCAAGCGUUAAUCGGAAUUACUGGGCGUAAAGCGCACGCAGGCGGUUUGUUAAGUCAGAUGUGAAAUCCCCGGGCUCAACCUGGGAACUGCAUCUGAUACUGGCAAGCUUGAGUCUCGUAGAGGGGGGUAGAAUUCCAGGUGUAGCGGUGAAAUGCGUAGAGAUCUGGAGGAAUACCGGUGGCGAAGGCGGCCCCCUGGACGAAGACUGACGCUCAGGUGCGAAAGCGUGGGGA